Molecule: long non-coding RNA, 1219 nt
Organism: Cyanistes caeruleus (blue tit)
Lineage: Eukaryota; Metazoa; Chordata; Aves; Passeriformes; Paridae
Source: RefSeq, a predicted model, not a curated record
CUGGGCCUCUGAUGGGACGGCAGAGAGCUGGGAGGGAGGAGCAGAGCAAUCAGGCAGCAAAGAGAAUAUCUCAGGGAAGCUCAGGUUUUUCCAGGGCUGAAGAUUGAGGAGACUCCAGCCAUGCCAAGCUGCUGUCCUUCUGCAGCAACUCCUAGGAGGAUAAACCACAUCAGUGAGUUACUCCCAGCUGCUGUGGGAUUUGUUCCUCGGGGUAUCCAAAGACCCACUCCUACACUUUGCAAGGCUUGGGGAAGCACAGCUCUGGGACAACACCCCUGCAGAGAGGUCUACAACAUGAAUGAGGAGUCCAAGGGUUGGGACCAAAGCCAGGAGACUGCAUCAACCCUCAGCUCCCCGGUGACUGCAGAGAGAGCUGGGCUGCUCCAUGACUUGUUUCCUCUGCAGAGAACUUUGGUUUGCUCGUGGCACUUUCAGAUGAGCAAGUGGUGUCUUAUUCACAGAGGCCCCAGGGAGAGUCACGGUCUCUCUUCCCUGCCAGACACAGGGUGGGGGACUUUAUGGUGGGCUAUGUGUUAAGUUUUUCCAAAAUCCUGAUAGUCAUCUGGAGAAACAGGCCAAAGCCCUGCUCAAACUGCAGCCUGGAGACCUUGUGGCCCAGAACACAGACUGCUGAGAGUGAGGGUGUCCAGCAGCCACCUGGAAUUCCAUUUUGGUGACCGUAUCCUAUCACUCCCAGCAUCGAAAUAUUACAGGCAGCGGGCUGGAUUUGUUUACAAACAGUGGAUUGAGACCAGCAUCAAUCAGAAAAGAAACCCAACCCAGCCAGCUGGUGACCAGCUCUUAGAAGUUUACAUCUCUUAGAGGGGAAGCCUGAGCAGCCCAAGCUGGAGGUGACCUCUUGUUCCAUCUGACCAGGAGAGUGGUGUGGUACCACCCCAGCAGAGCCUGUGUGCAGCACCUCAAAUUCCAACAACCGUUUUACAAUGAGCAGGUUGUUUAUUUUCUGUAUUUAAACACUUCUCUUUUACCUGAAAAAUUACCUUUUCAAUUAAAAAAUAGAUUCUUGGUCAGUGCUUUUCACAUCUUUUGAAAUUCUCCUGGGGUUUUUCUCAGGAGGGAAAAAAAAAAAUAAAUUAAAGCGUUUUCCAUAAUGUUGGGGUUUUCCCUCUUUUCCUCCGCUCUGUUAAAUUCUCCUUUUCCUCCUCUCAGCAAAAUACUGGAAAAUAAAUCAUGUCCCCGUGUGGGAGCUUUAACAAAA